Molecule: ribosomal RNA, 261 nt
Filed under: uncultured bacterium
Lineage: Bacteria
Description: partial 16S ribosomal RNA
Rfam family: Bacterial small subunit ribosomal RNA
Source: RNAcentral
GUCCACGCCGUAAACGAUGGGUGCUAGGUGUGGGGGUGUCGACUCCCCCCGUGCCGCAGCUAACGCAUUAAGCACCCCGCCUGGGGAGUACGGCCGCAAGGCUAAAACUCAAAGGAAUUGACGGGGCCCGCACAAGCAGCGGAGCAUGUGGUUUAAUUGGAUGCAACGCCAAGAACCUUACCAAGGCUUGACAUGGUCGAGAAAAGCGGAGAAAUUCGUUCCUCCUUCGGGACUCGAUCACAGGUGGUGCAUGGCUGUCGU